CCAAGGAGUAUAACAUUUGCGCGAGUCUUAGGGCUCCCCCCCAACCCUCAAGCCACAAUGAAAGUGAAGUUCGUCCAUGCCCGCCGACCGAGGCGGGAUCCGCAAACCCUGCUGCCCCGGGUCUUUUUCUUUACGGGGGAGAUCUUUGUUUGGCCUCGGGGAGCGGCGCACCGCCGGCCCGUCUCGACCGCAACGCCGGUGAGGCGGAGCCAGAGCGCACACGUUGGGACCCGAAAGAUGGUGAACUAUGCCUAGGCAGGACGAAGCCAGAGGAAACUCUGGUGGAGGUCCGUAGCGAUUCUGACGUGCAAAUCGAUCGUCGGACCUGGGUAUAGGGGCGAAAGACUAAUCGAACCAUCUAGUAGCUGGUUCCCUCCGAAGUUUCCCUCAGGAUAGCUGGUACUCGAGGAGGGACAGUCUCAUCCGGUAAAGCGAAUGAUUAGAGGCCUUGGGGCCGAAACGACCUCAACCUAUUCUCAAACUUUCAAUGGGUGAGAAGUCCGGCUUGCUCGACUGAAGCCCGGACAUCGGAUGCAAGUGCCCAGUGGGCCACUUUUGGUAAGCAGAACUGGCGCUGUGGGAUGAACCAAACGCCGGGUUAUGGCGCCCGAUGGGGACGCUCAUCAGACCCCAUGAAAGGUGUUGGUUGCUAUAGACAGCAGGACGGUGGCCAUGGAAGUCGGAAUCCGCUAAGGAGUGUGUAACAACUCACCUGCCGAAGCAACUAGCCCUGAAAACGGAUGGCGCUCCAGCGUCGAGCCCAUACCCGGCCUCCGAGGCAGAGCCCAUUGAAAAGAAAAUUGUUUUUUUUCUCGAAAGGCCCCAGACGCCCCGGCGAGUAGGAGGGUCGCAGCGGCGAGUGUUGAAGGAGUCGGGCGUAGGCCCGCCUGAAGCUGCCGCGGGUGCAGAUCUUGGUGGUAGUAGCAAAUACUCGAGUGAGAACCUUGAGGACUGAAGUGGAGAAGGGUUCCAUGUGAACAGUCCUAAGGAAUAGGGGAAACUCGUUCCGAAUUGGGGGUUUAAAUUUUUGUCCGAGCUCCUGACUAGACCGAAAGGGAAUCGGGUGAAUAUUCCCAAACCCGGACAUGGAGAUCCAGUGCAGUGACGCAAACGAACUCGGAAACGUCGGCGGGAGUCCCGGGAAGAGUUGUCUUUUCUUUGUAAUGAACGGACUCCCUGGAAUCGGCUCGCCCGGAGAUAGGGAUGUUGUUCCCAUAAAGCAUCGCGCCUCCUGCGAUGUCCGGAGCGCUCCUGCCGGCCCUUGAAAAUCCGAGGGAGAGAGUGUGAUUUUCGUGCCGAACCGUACUCAUAUCCGCAGCAGGUCU
This 1325-nucleotide ribosomal RNA is filed under the name Sphendononema rugosa. Its description in RNAcentral is "eukaryotic LSU rRNA". It matches the Rfam family "Eukaryotic large subunit ribosomal RNA", at positions 666 to 1866 of the family's 3401-position model. The record is from RNAcentral. Lineage: Eukaryota; Metazoa; Arthropoda; Chilopoda; Scutigeromorpha; Pselliodidae.